CCUACGGGAGGCAGCAGUGAGGAAUAUUGGUCAAUGGGCGGAAGCCUGAACCAGCCAAGUCGCGUGAGGGAUUAAGGCCCUGCGGGUCGUAAACCUCUUUUGCCGGGGAGCAGUGGUCCGGACGUGUCCGGGCCGGGAGAGUACCCGGAGAAAAAGCAUCGGCUAACUCCGUGCCAGCAGCCGCGGUAAUACGGAGGAUGCGAGCGUUAUCCGGAUUUAUUGGGUUUAAAGGGUGCGUAGGCGGGCAUUUAAGCCGGCGGUAACAUGUCGGGGCUCAACCCCGGCCUGCCGUCGGAACUGGGUGCCUUGAGUGGGCGAGAAGUAUGCGGAAUGCGGGGUGUAGCGGUGAAAUGCAUAGAUAUCACGCAGAACCCCGAUUGCGAAGGCAGCAUACCGGCGCCCUACUGACGCUGAGGCACGAAAGUGUGGGUAUCGAACAGGAUUAGAUACCCUUGUAGUC
Molecule: ribosomal RNA, 460 nt
Filed under: uncultured bacterium
Lineage: Bacteria
Description: partial 16S ribosomal RNA
Rfam family: Bacterial small subunit ribosomal RNA
Source: RNAcentral